CCUGGCCCUACACCGCCCAUGGGCAGGGGCGGGGGAACCACCGGGACUCAUACCCCAGGGGUGAAGCCAUCACACAUGGCCGGGCACCUCUCGCCCGAACCCGUCAGCUAACCCCGCAGGCGCCGAGAGGAGCA
RNAcentral lists this small RNA (134 nucleotides) under Carbonactinospora thermoautotrophica. RNAcentral describes it as "Streptomyces thermoautotrophicus c-di-AMP sequence". It matches the Rfam family "c-di-AMP riboswitch aptamer (ydaO/yuaA leader)". From Rfam's summary of the family: This family represents a conserved RNA structure found upstream of the ydaO and yuaA genes in Bacillus subtilis and related genes in other bacteria. Lineage: Bacteria; Bacillati; Actinomycetota; Actinomycetes; Kitasatosporales; Carbonactinosporaceae. The record is from RNAcentral.